This 2509-nucleotide long non-coding RNA is filed under the name Ananas comosus (pineapple). RNAcentral describes it as "long non-coding RNA (ACOM_LNC016660)". The record is from RNAcentral. Lineage: Eukaryota; Viridiplantae; Streptophyta; Magnoliopsida; Poales; Bromeliaceae.
ACUACUUAGGCUGAAUUAUUUUAGAAAUUUGUUGUAUGCAUGGAGUAAUUACAUUAAGGGGCCGUUUAGUUGGAUGCAGUUAUAAAAACAGUGUAGUUGGAAGUACAUACAGUUACAAAUGCUGCAGUAAUAACUACACUCAGUAUGUUUGGUUUUAUAUAGUUGCAACUGUUGCGAUUAUAUUUUUUCUAUUUGGUAGGCUGCAGUCGAGAUUUAUAUUUGUAAAUUCUAUUAAUUUUUUGAUAGAAAUGUGAAAUUAUCUCUUCUGAACAUAACAUAAUCAUGAGAUCUUUAAUUAUUGAUUAAGACUUUUAUAUCCAUAUAUAAUUUAUAUAUUAUAAAAUUAUGUAUGAAUUUAAUAAAUUUUAAAUACAAAUAUAUUAUAAAUUUGGUCAAAACAAAAAUUAAAGCAUUAUUGAACUAGCAGACCGGAAAGAAAUGAAGCGUAUGAAAAAAAAAUUAUUGAACCCUCACAGACAUUAUUAAACUCUAGCAGAUUUCAUGAAUAGGUAUUCUUGGAAAAAAAAAAAGAGUUUAAAAAAAGAAGCGUAUAAAAAAAUUUAUUGAACCCUAACAGAUAUUAUUAAAAUCCUAGCAGAUUUCAUGAAUAGGUAUUAUUGAAAAAAAAAAGUUAAAAGAAAAGCGUAUGAAAAAAAAAAUCGCAUUUUAUUUAUUUUUUUAAUGGGUGAGCUGACUUCGGCUCAACUGCUGCAGUUGAUACAACAACCAAAUUGACUACAGUACCAAUUGCUGCAGUUGGGCCUUCUUGUGCAGAUGCAAUUGCUGUAGUUAGCUACACCAAACCAAACAAAAAUUUAAUAGAUACAUGCAUUUCUAACUGCAGUUGGAAAUACGUGCAACCAAACGGCCACUAAACAAAUUUCAUCGUGCAACUCGAAUUGAAGGAAAAAAAAAGAAGAAAAUCUACUAAAAGAGACUAUAUUAUAAAAAAUAAAGAAGAUCGAUAUAUAGAAUUGUAUGAUGUAGUUUGAUGAGGCCGUUAAAAUAUUUAAUGCUUUAAUGAUAAAAGGGAAAACUUUAAAAAACCCCCUGUAGUUUCGUACUUUUUCAUUUUAGUAUCUUGUGGUUUAAAGUGUAUCAAGUUAGUACCCUGUGGUUUCGCACUUUCUCACUUUAGUACCCUGUGGUUUAAAGUGUAUCAAGUUAGUAUUUUGUGGUUUUAUUUUUGUAUCACGUUAGUACCCUAUGGUUUUAUUUUUGUAUCAAAUUAGUACCCUGUGGUUUUUAAAGCACAGGAUACUAGUGAAAAAGUGCGAAAGCACAGGAUACUAAAGUGAGAAAGUGCGAAACCACAGGAUACUAAAGUGAGAAAGUGCGAAACCACAUGGUACUAACUUGAUACACUUUAAACCACAGGGUACGAAAGUGAAAAAGUGCACAACCACAUAGUACUAACUUGAUACACUUUAAACCACAGAGUACUAAAGUGAGAAAAAGUGAAACCACAAAGGGGGUAUUUGAAGUUUUCCCAUGAUACAUAAAGAAUAAGUGAUAAAAUUGAAAAAAAGGUAGGAAGGAUUCUGAGAUAAUUUAAAAUUGAAAGUUUAUAAUCUAAAAGUUUGAUUUCAUAAGUAUCGUAGGUGAUUUUGUUGAAAAUUAAAAAUUUGAAUAAUUGCAAAUUAAAAUUUUACUAUUGAAAAUUUUAAUUAAUUUAACAUUCAAAGUUUCAUAAUCUUAGCCUCCGUUUGGUUCGGGGUUAAGUAAAAGCUAGUUAUUGCAGGGAUAGGGUUAAGUUCAGAGUUAAGGUGGGGUUAGAGUAAUUUUGUGUUUUGUUAAGAAUUGGAUUUAGUCUAGGAAUAAGCAAAAUAUUGUUUGGUUGGAGUAGAGAGAAUAAGAAGGAUAAUGGUUGGUAAAGAGAUAAAAAGACCAAAAUACCCUCAUAUUAAUCUAUUAAAAGAAAAGCUUUUAUUUUUUGCAUUUAAAUUUUAUGAUUGCAAUUUAUUUUGAGGAGUCAAAUUAAUUUAAUUUGAGUGUAAUUUGUUACCAAAAAUUAUUUUUCACUACUCUUUUGUGACUUUGAAAUUACCAAAAUUUUACGAACAACUAUUUUAAAUUUUUCUUAAGUUCAAAUUUCACGAACAAUUGCAUUUCACAAACUAUUUUAAUAUUUUACAAAUAAUUGCAUUUUAACCCUCUAAAAACACUAAUUUUCAACAUUUCAAUUUCAGCCCCUAGCAGAGGUGAGUACCGGUAUGCGAUUUCAAACCCGGUUUGUGCCGAUGACACUUUUACUUCCGAAACUCACUUCUAACCAUCCCAACGCGUACAAAGCAACUUUUGCACUUCACUUAUCACUCUCAUACGACACGUUGAUCAGUUUGAUAAAAAUUAGCAUUAUGAUUCGGAUAUUCGAUAUAAUAUACAAAUAUUUAAAUACCUCAAGCCAAUCUGCACAUUAACGAACAGUUACAAAGAUAACAACACAUUGAAUAAAAAAAAAUUACAUAUACAACCAAAAUAAUUUGAAAGAGUACAACUAUAUAACAGA